GGGUUCGUAGCUCAAUGGAUAGAGCGUCUGUCUCCGGAACAGAAGGUUGGGGGUCCGAAUCCCCUCGAGCCCA
This 73-nucleotide transfer RNA is filed under the name Aeriscardovia sp. RNAcentral's name for it is "tRNA-Arg". It matches the Rfam family "tRNA". Rfam says of the family: Transfer RNA (tRNA) molecules are approximately 80 nucleotides in length. Their secondary structure includes four short double-helical elements and three loops (D, anti-codon, and T loops). Further hydrogen bonds mediate the characteristic L-shaped molecular structure. tRNAs have two regions of fundamental functional importance: the anti-codon, which is responsible for specific mRNA codon recognition, and the 3' end, to which the tRNAs corresponding amino acid is attached (by aminoacyl-tRNA synthetases). tRNAs cope with the degeneracy of the genetic code in two manners: having more than one tRNA (with a specific anti-codon) for a particular amino acid; and 'wobble' base-pairing, i.e. permitting non-standard base-pairing at the 3rd anti-codon position. Lineage: Bacteria; Bacillati; Actinomycetota; Actinomycetes; Bifidobacteriales; Bifidobacteriaceae. The record is from RNAcentral.